Molecule: ribosomal RNA, 767 nt
Filed under: uncultured Acaulospora
Lineage: Eukaryota; Fungi; Glomeromycota; Glomeromycetes; Diversisporales; Acaulosporaceae
Description: SSU rRNA
Rfam family: Eukaryotic small subunit ribosomal RNA
Source: RNAcentral
UACCAUGGUUUUAACGGGUAACGGGGAAUUAGGGUUCGAUUCCGGAGAGGGAGCCUGAGAAACGGCUACCACAUCCAAGGAAGGCAGCAGGCGCGCAAAUUACCCAAUCCCGACACGGGGAGGUAGUGACAAUAAAUAACAAUAUGGGGCUCUUACGAGUCUUGUAAUUGGAAUGAGUACAAUUUAAAUCUCUUAACGAGGAACAAUUGGAGGGCAAGUCUGGUGCCAGCAGCCGCGGUAAUUCCAGCUCCAAUAGCGUAUAUUAAAGUUGUUGCAGCUAAAAAGCUCGUAGUUGAAUUUCGGGAUUUACCCGUCGGUCGGGCUUUUGGGUCUGUACUGGCGUGAUGGAUUCCUACCUUCUGAAUAACUGGCAUGUCAUUAAUUUGGUGCGCCGGGGAAGCAGGACUGUUACCUUGAAAAAAUUAGAGUGCUUAAAGCAGGCUUAUGCCUGAAUACAUUAGCAUGGAAUAAUGAAAUAGGACGGCAUGGUUCUAUUUUGUUGGUUUCUAGGAUCACCGUAAUGAUUAAUAGGGAUAGUUGGGGGCAUUAGUAUUCAAUUGUCAGAGGUGAAAUUCUUGGAUUUAUUGAAGACUAACUUCUGCGAAAGCAUUUGCCAAGGAUGUUUUCAUUAAUCAAGAACGAAAGUUAGGGGAUCGAAGACGAUCAGAUACCGUCGUAGUCUUAACCAUAAACUAUGCCGACUAGGGAUCGGACGAUGUUAAUUUUCUAAUGACUCGUUCGGCGCCUUACGGGAAACCAAAGUGUUU